GUAGUCAUAUGCUUGUCUCAAAGAUUAAGCCAUGCAUGUCUAAGUAUAAGCAAUUAUACAGCGAAACUGCGAAUGGCUCAUUAUAUAAGUUAUCGUUUAUUUGAUAGUACCUUACUACUUGGAUAACCGUGGUAAUUCUAGAGCUAAUACAUGCUAAAAAUCCCGACUUCGGAAGGGAUGUAUUUAUUAGAUUAAAAACCAAUGCCCUUCGGGGCUCACUGGUGAUUCAUGAUAACUCCUCGAAUCGCAUGGCCUUGUGCCGGCGAUGGUUCAUUCAAAUUUCUUCCCUAUCAACUUUCGAUGUUUGGGUAUUGGCCAAACAUGGUUGCAACGGGUAACGGGGAAU
Molecule: ribosomal RNA, 346 nt
Filed under: uncultured Ascomycota
Lineage: Eukaryota; Fungi; Ascomycota
Also listed under: 1 other name
Description: SSU rRNA
Rfam family: Eukaryotic small subunit ribosomal RNA
Source: RNAcentral